RNAcentral lists this long non-coding RNA (233 nucleotides) under Lathyrus oleraceus (garden pea). Its description in RNAcentral is "Pisum sativum (pea) long non-coding RNA (PSAT_LNC018946)". Lineage: Eukaryota; Viridiplantae; Streptophyta; Magnoliopsida; Fabales; Fabaceae. The record is from RNAcentral.
UUGAUUUGCAAUCGCUUGAAAAUAUCCAAAAAUCGAGCGUAUUGACUUUCUUUAUCCUUUUUGGUUGGAACAUGAGGGUAUGGUAGGUUUGUACUGGUGGAUUUAUCAUUUUUCCUUUUUCUUCCUUUGUUCUCUUAUUUUUUCGCCCUUCAUUCGUUUCUUUCUCAUUUCUACCUUUUCUCUCUUGCUCCUUUUCAAAUAAUUCUCCUUUAUUAUUGUUUUCUCCUUCUUUC